Small nuclear RNA from Lontra canadensis (Northern American river otter), 145 nucleotides. RefSeq annotates it as U4 spliceosomal RNA. The transcript has a single exon. The record is from RefSeq and is a predicted model, not a curated record. NCBI's taxonomy places the organism in Eukaryota, Metazoa, Chordata, Mammalia, Carnivora, Mustelidae.
ACAAAUGCGCAGUGGCAGUAUCGUAGCCAAUGAGGUUUAUCCGAGGCGCGAUUAUUGCUAAUUGAAUUGACUAUUCUGUGGUCUUAUUUCCCCUAAAUCGAAAGUUUGAGUUGUAUUAAUGAAUUUCUUGAAUAGUUGGUAAAUA